Molecule: ribosomal RNA, 504 nt
Filed under: uncultured bacterium
Lineage: Bacteria
Description: partial 16S ribosomal RNA
Rfam family: Bacterial small subunit ribosomal RNA
Source: RNAcentral
AUUGAACGCUGGCGGCAAGCCUAACACAUGCAAGUCGAACGGUAGCACAGAGAGCUUGCUCUCGGGUGACGAGUGGCGGACGGGUGAGUAAUGUCUGGGAAACUGCCCGAUGGAGGGGGAUAACUACUGGAAACGGUAGCUAAUACCGCAUAACGUCUUCGGACCAAAGUGGGGGACCUUCGGGCCUCACACCAUCGGAUGUGCCCAGAUGGGAUUAGCUAGUAGGUGGGGUAAUGGCUCACCUAGGCGACGAUCCCUAGCUGGUCUGGGAGGAUGACCAGCCACACUGGAACUGAGACACGGUCCAGACUCCUACGGGAGGCAGCAGUGGGGAAUAUUGCACAAUGGGCGCAAGCCUGAUGCAGCCAUGCCGCGUGUAUGAAGAAGGCCUUCGGGUUGUAAAGUACUUUCAGCGGGGAGGAAGGCGAUGGAGUUAAUAGCUUCAUCGAUUGACGUUACCCGCAGAAGAAGCACCGGCUAACUCCGUGCCAGCCGCCGCCGUAA